RNAcentral lists this long non-coding RNA (4731 nucleotides) under Sus scrofa (pig). Its description in RNAcentral is "lncRNA (ENSSSCG00065037949.1)". Lineage: Eukaryota; Metazoa; Chordata; Mammalia; Artiodactyla; Suidae. The record is from RNAcentral.
GUGCCACGUCAGGAACUCCUUCUUGUAGCUUUUUAAAUUUCUCCCCUUCCGUUGGAUUUUAACAUUCUUUAAUGAAUGGUCUCAUUCGCAAAUUCAGGUUUUCAUCAAUUAUUCUCUUCUUUUACCCUAAAACAGGAUGUUUUUUGGCUGUGCCCCUGGGACGGCAAAGUUCCCAGAUCAGGGAUCAAACCCACACCAUAGAAGCAACCCAAGCCACUGCAGUGACAACAGUGGAUCCUUAAAUUGCUGGGCCAAAAGAGAAUUCUGAACUCCGAGUUAAUUAGGAAAAUCUGACUGUCAGCCUUGCAGUUUCACCAACCAUUUUUUUGAGUGUCAUCAAUGACCUUUUCCUUUACUCUUUGAUCCUGCUUUACUUUUCUUGCAGCAACUGAUAAGCUAAAACCAUGCUUCUCUAAGCCCACUUCCUGUCUAAAUGACAGUAACCCUUGGGGUUCAGUCCUAAACCUUUCUAUACUGUUUUGCUUGUUUGUUUUUUAAUGACUACCCCUGUGGCAUAUGGAAGUUCCCAGGCUAGGGGGUACAGCAGAGCUGCAGCUGAGACCUACAGUAGAGAUCAUGGCAACACCAGAUCCUUCACCCGCUGAUCAAGGCUGCAUCCUCAUGGAUACUAGUUAGGUUCUUCACCUGAUGAGCCACAAAGGGAGCUCCGGCACAAUUUUUUAUUUAAAAUCUUAGUACAAAAAUCACUAACUUUCUGAAUUCAGUUAAUGUCCUCGAUAGAGAGAAAUUAUGCUAUAGUAGCAAGGAGCAUCAAUGUAAAUCCAAUAAAUACAUUUUAUCAAUAAGACAGUUCCUAUUUUAUAAAAUAUCCUUAUAUACUACUAGUAAAACAAUUAAAAUUCCUUUUCAGUAUGACAGGAAUUAGAAGACUGACUUACCACACUUGCACUUGGCGGGUUUCUAUGAAGCUGUUCAAUUUCGCCCACGUGCUUUUUGUUCGUCACUUUUAAGUUGGCAGAUUCAAUUUCAAGGCUAAAAUGGGUAUUUUACAAUAAUUAUUUGCACACAUAGAUUUUAAAAAUACCUCACAAUUUGUAAACCAACAUCUACAGAGUCAUUUAUAUAAGUUCUAAAGUUUUGAAAAGUAGAUGAUUUGGCAAUCGUGCCAAUUUUCGAGUUGUGUUUUGUGGAUAAUGUGAAAAAUUCAGAAAUAAUGGGGAAGUACAUUGCAUUCCAAAACACCCCAAAACUGAAUUUUUUACCCAGCUUCACAAUGAUGCAUUCUUUAUUAUCAUUCCUGAUAUAAUUCUUAUACUAUACUGCUUAUCUGCUUUAUACUUAUACUCAAAGUUAUUCUCUGUGCUGCUCUACUGUACUUUUGCAUGUGAUCCUUCAUCUUCUCGGUAGACUUCAUGGCCUCUAUAUGUAGUUCUUGUGCUUCUUGCAACUAAAAUAAAGAAAACGAAGUUGUGUCUUACCUACAAAUACACCUUCACCCAUUUCUGUCUUUUAUGACUCCUUUUUUGUGCCAUAAGAAUGGAGCUGAACUGUUAUGACAGAGACCCUAUGGCCCACAAAGCCUGAAAUAUUUGCCAUCUGGUCCUUUACAAGUUACUGACCUCUCCUCUAGUACUAAAACACAACAUUAUUCAUGCUUUAAAUUAUAUUUUAUCAAAUGCAUAUACUCACUGAUAAACUGGCCAAAGGGGAAAAGACAGAAUUACCUUAGAGUAAACAAUUAUAUUUUGGUCUUCCAAGUUCCAUAUCAACUACAACAUUAAAUAUCCACAUAUGUGAGUGACCAUGGCCAGUCCAGGGAUUAUGAAAGUCUUGUGGACUAGUUAGAGAGACAGUAUCUACACAGCAGCCAGGAUGUGUGGUUCUCAGUCCCAACCCCACCCAUUAUUAGCCGUGUGCCCUUGAGCAUACCACUUACAUUUUCUGUCUCAGUUUCUCCAUCUGUAAAAUGGACAUAAUAAUAGCAUCUACCUCACUGGGAUGUUGGGAAGCUUAAACUGGGGAAUACACAUCAUGUCCUUAGAAGAGCAGGUGGCACAUAGGAAGUGCUAAGUGUUUGCAAUCAGCAUUACAACUGUUGCUCUGGUGUAUGUUCUAAACAAUUUAAUGUUUCGGCAGAGAGCAUGCCAAUGGACACGGUCUUCUCCACAAGUCACGUGGAAAUCCCCCUUCACACCAUUCAAAGUGGCAGACAAUGGGGAGCCUGAGGCCCAGAGCAGAUGCCCAGAACUUCAAAAACUUACACUAAUUCCACCAACCCACUACUAUUUUUUUCCACUUAUAAUAAUUUAUAACUUACUUCCUCUCUGUCCUACUCACUGGUCAGUGACCAUGGACUACGAUGCAAAGAGCAUCUUGAUUGAGUAGUACUGACUGAUAGUACAUGACUGUUAGAGGAAACGUUAAUUCAUUGGCAUGGAUAUUUCCCAAAGUUUUGAACCAAUUUAUUCCCAGCAACUGUUUAUGUCCGGCUGCUCUAGCAAGUACUCAGGUGAGAAAAUUAAGGUUAUGGCCUAUCAAAAUCAGAAUUGCCACCCCCAGAGCUGUACAAUUGGUGGAGUUCAAAAUCAGAAUUGCUACCCCCAGAGCAUUACAAUGGUGAAAUUCUCUCAAUCUGUAAAUCCCAGUUUGGGCUGCAUAAUGAAGGAAAGCAAAUUAGAAUUUUUCUUUCAUAGUGAGGGAGAAAAAUUAGCAUUUAAUUGAGCAAUUCUUCUCUAUUAGAUUAAGUGCUUUUGAUUUUAUAUUUCAUGCUUAAAAAAAUUUAACAAAAGUUUCAUUAUAUCUUAUCUCCAAGAAGGAAUUAUUGGUAUGGCAUUAAGUACUUUAUCCUAAUAACUGUUAGGAUAAAAUAUGUUCAAUUUAUGCAAGGACAGGUGCCAUGCAUAUCCUGUAACAUUCCCUGAAAGACAAAUGUAUACUAAGACAAGAUUAUCACUCAUGACAACACAUUAAAGCAGUGUGACAUGAAAGGCUAAAUUGUCCUGCACAGAGCAGAUGACAAGGGCCGAAGAGGACAGGGUGAACGAUGGAAAAAACAAGCUUUCUGCAGAAGGAGAGACUGGGAGCAGGUCCACACAAAUGGAGGACUAGGCGAGAGGAAAAGAAACUUAAAAGACAGAAAGGACAGCACAAGGAAAGGCCAGGAACAGGUGAAAUCAGCCAGUUCACUGAGAGGAUAAAAUCCAACAGCAGGGAAAUUAUCCACACAGGUCCACACCCUAACUUGAAAAUGAAUGUUUACAGUGGCAUUCUUUAUAGCCCCAAAGUGGAAGCACACAAAGGCCCAUCAACGGAUGAAGGGAUCAAUGUUUUAACUAUAUAGCAGAGUAUUGCUCAACAAUGAAUGAAGUGGAAGUGCUGAUAAUGGUCCGUAACAUGGUAAAAUUUUGAAAACUUUAUGGUCAAAUGCAAAAAACUAAUCAUGAAGGACCACAUACCAUGUGAUUCCAGUUAUAUGCAACACCCGGAAUGGGCACAUCUGUGGAGAAAUUAGCCUGGUACCUGCUUGGUGCUGAGGGAGGUGGGGAGCUGUGGGUGAUCACUAAGGGAUGCAGGGCUUCUUUUUGGGGUGAUGGAAACAUGCUAAAUUUGAUUGUUGUGAUAGUAGCAUAACCCUCUAAAAUAGGAAAUACCAAAAUAUACAAUUUAGAUGGGUGAAUUAUAGAUACAUGAAUUAUGUCUCUGAAGUUUUUAAAAAAAUCCAAUGGCAGGAUCUAGAUAAUUUUCUUAAUUCUCUCUUUUGGGAGCACAUGCCACACAAGAUCUGAAUAUCUCCCUAUUUCAAAAACAGAGCUAAAUUGAAAAGAAAAGAAAGGCAAAGCCUAAUUUCAACUGGUUUGUAGAAUGACCUCUCUGCACAAGUUAAUCUGAAAUCAACAAAAUAAAUAUACACAGAUGCCAUACCCUUCACCAAAGUGAAGGUAAGAAAUUACAAUUUUUUCCAAUCAUGCCAUUAAACAUUCUCCUCUGAUUUUAUCUGGCUUGUCUGAUCAUCGUUGUAGAGAUAUCACUAAAAAGUACUGUUUAACAGAAAAAGCAAAGUCUCUCAACUUCUCUGAGGAGUGUGCAUCACUGUCUACUUUCCGAAGGGGAAACAGAAUAAGAAAAAUAUAGCAUACAAAGAGCAGAAUAAAAGCAGUGUUUAAGAAAUAAGUGUGUAAUUAAGAUAAUAAAAUUGAAAUAAAAUAAUUGUAACGAAAAUACAAAAGAAAGCUGUCCAUGGGAAUUAGUAUCCUAAAGCAUUUUAUGUCUUCAUUAACAUUUAACAAUCUCAUACAUACUCGACUUGUGAUUUGACGUAGCUUCUUCUUUAAAUCCUGUGUCUCAUCCUCUAAUUUAGCAUGAUCAGGCGACAUCAGCUCCAAUAAAGCCUCAGACAGGGACUGCUUUGUUAGAGAAUCAGCCAGUUCUUGUUGAAGUUGUCCCACAACCACCUAGUAAGAUACUCUGUCACUGGUUUUAUCAAUCACCUUAUUAUUAGUUACAUUAGUAACAGUAAACUCCAAUACAUGUACUUUGAAAACUAUCCCCACAGACAUCAAUUUGCCUUCUCCUUUCCUUCACAUGCACACCUUCCAGCUCACUGAAUUUGGUUAAAGUUACAGCAGAUGUUACCCUCCUGCCUUAUCGAUGUUAAGUUAUUAGAGGACAGAUUCAGGCCUGCUACCCACUCCCCCAACCCCACCAAUGAAUUUGCAGAGCUCUACUAACUCCUGAAGUCUCAUAAAGAAAUGGAGGUGAAAAAAAAAAAAA